UGGGGGAUAUUGGACAAUGGGGGGAACCCUGAUCCAGCGACGCCGCGUGAGUGAAGAAGUAUCUCGGUAUGUAAAGCUCUAUCAGCAGGGAAGAAAGAAAUGACGGUACCUGAGUAAGAAGCCCCGGCUAACUACGUGCCAGCAGCCGCGGUAAUACGUAGGGGGCAAGCGUUAUCCGGAAUUACUGGGUGUAAAGGGAGCGUAGACGGCGUAGUAAGUCUGGAGUGAAAGGCGGGGGCCCAACCCCCGGACUGCUCUGGAAACUAUUAUGCUCGAGUGCAGGAGAGGCAGGCGGAAUUCCUAGUGUAGCGGUGAAAUGCGUAGAUAUUAGGAGGAACAUCGGUGGCGAAGGCGGCCUGCUGGACUGUAACUGACGUUGAGGCUCGAAAGCGUGGGGAGCAAACAGG
RNAcentral lists this ribosomal RNA (407 nucleotides) under uncultured bacterium. RNAcentral's name for it is "bacterial SSU rRNA". It matches the Rfam family "Bacterial small subunit ribosomal RNA", at positions 355 to 776 of the family's 1533-position model. The record is from RNAcentral.